UACGGGGGGGGCAAGCGUUGUUCGGAAUUACUGGGCGUAAAGGGUUCGUAGGUGGCUCGCUAAGUCAGACGUGAAAUCCCUCAGCUUAACUGGGGAACUGCGUCUGAGACUGGCAAGCUCGAGUGCAGGAGAGGAACGCGGAAUUCCAGGUGUAGCGGUGAAAUGCGUAGAUAUCUGGAGGAACACCAAAGGCGAAGGCAGCGUCCUGGGAAGCAUCUGACGCUCAGGUGCGAAAGCUAGGGGAGCGAACGGG
Molecule: ribosomal RNA, 253 nt
Filed under: uncultured bacterium
Lineage: Bacteria
Description: partial 16S ribosomal RNA
Rfam family: Bacterial small subunit ribosomal RNA
Source: RNAcentral